AUGACAGUCCUAGAAACCAAAGUCCUCUGUUUAUUCAUAGAACAUAUACUGGCCCAAUCUUUAAGACUUGAACUGGAGAGAUCACAUUUAGGAUAAUAGAACAGUUCACUCUGUAUGCUCAUUACAUUUUUGGCUUCU
Molecule: small RNA, 138 nt
Filed under: Crocodylus porosus (Australian saltwater crocodile)
Lineage: Eukaryota; Metazoa; Chordata; Crocodylia; Crocodylidae
Description: TUC338 (ENSCPRG00005003344.1)
Source: RNAcentral